GGAAUAUUUCAAAUGGCUCAUCAUGAAUAUUUCAAUUGUUAUAAUAGUAAAUAGCCCACUGAAUCAAGAAUAUAUCAAUUGUUGUAAGAAACACAUACGCAAGAAUAUUCAACUCUUGCAAGAAGCACAUACUGUACAUCAACCAAUCAUUAGAUGGAUUCAAACAGAUGAUUAGCACUAUAGAGAUUCAAUAAAAGCUGCCCUUUUUUUUUUUUUUUUU
Molecule: unclassified non-coding RNA, 220 nt
Filed under: Hevea brasiliensis (rubber tree)
Lineage: Eukaryota; Viridiplantae; Streptophyta; Magnoliopsida; Malpighiales; Euphorbiaceae
Source: RNAcentral